GGCGGCAUGGCCAAGUGCUAAGGCAGGGGACUACAAAUCCUUUACCCCCAGUUCAAAUCUGGGUGCCGCCU
This is a non-coding RNA of Zea mays, 71 nucleotides long. The record is from Rfam. NCBI's taxonomy places the organism in Eukaryota, Viridiplantae, Streptophyta, Magnoliopsida, Poales, Poaceae.